CUCGUUGUUGCUACUCUCCGUUCUACUGUUCCGGUAUUCGUUGUUGUUCAAUCUGUUGUU
RNAcentral lists this unclassified non-coding RNA (60 nucleotides) under unidentified. The record is from RNAcentral.